UUAGGAUGCUGGCGUAGUAAUCUCGAGACGUGCUUUCCGUGCGGCUCUAUGGACAAGUCCCUUGGAAUAGGGCAUCGUAGAGGGUGAGAAUCCCGUACUUGCCAUGGAAGAACCGUGCUUUGCGAUACACGCUCUAAGAGUCGAGUUGUUUGGGAUUGCAGCUCAAAAUGGGUGGUAGACUCCAUCUAAAGCUAAAUAUCGGGGAGAGACCGAUAGCGAACAAGUACCGUGAGGGAAAGAUGAAAAGCACUUUGGAAAGAGAGUUAAAAGUACGUGAAAUUGUCGAAAGGGAAGCACUUGAAGUCAGCCAUGCUGCUUGAGACUCAGCCUGGCCUUUGGGCUUGGUGUAUUUCUCGGUGGCAAGCCAGCAUUGGUUUGGGUCGUCAGAAAAGCGCAUAGGGAAUC
RNAcentral lists this ribosomal RNA (405 nucleotides) under Malassezia globosa. Its description in RNAcentral is "partial large subunit ribosomal RNA". It matches the Rfam family "Eukaryotic large subunit ribosomal RNA", at positions 129 to 536 of the family's 3401-position model. The record is from RNAcentral. Lineage: Eukaryota; Fungi; Basidiomycota; Malasseziomycetes; Malasseziales; Malasseziaceae.